This 460-nucleotide ribosomal RNA is filed under the name uncultured bacterium. RNAcentral describes it as "partial 16S ribosomal RNA". It matches the Rfam family "Bacterial small subunit ribosomal RNA", at positions 338 to 795 of the family's 1533-position model. The record is from RNAcentral.
CCUACGGGUGGCAGCAGUGAGGAAUAUUGGUCAAUGGACGAGAGUCUGAACCAGCCAAGUAGCGUGAAGGAUGACUGCCCUAUGGGUUGUAAACUUCUUUUAUAUGGGAAUAAAAUGCUCCACGUGUGGGAUUUUGUAUGUACCAUAUGAAUACGGAUCGGCUAACUCCGUGCCAGCAGCCGCGGUAAUACGGAGGAUCCGAGCGUUAUCCGUAUUUAUUGGGUUUAAAGGGAGCGUAGGUGGAUUGUUAAGUCAGAUGUGAAAGUCUGCGGCUUAACCGUAAAAUUGCAGUUGAAACUGGCAGUCUUGAGUGCGGGAGAGGUAGGCGGAAUUCGUGGUGUAGCGGUGAAAUGCUUAGAUAUCAAGAAGAACACUGAUUGCGAAGGCAGCCUACUGGACUGCAACUGACACUGAGGCUCGAAAGUGUGGGUAUCAAACAGGAUUAGAUACCCUUGUAGUC